Molecule: long non-coding RNA, 1287 nt
Filed under: Oryctolagus cuniculus (rabbit)
Lineage: Eukaryota; Metazoa; Chordata; Mammalia; Lagomorpha; Leporidae
Description: lncRNA (ENSOCUG00000038628.1)
Source: RNAcentral
UGCAGAGCUUCAGAAUGAAAGCAGUGACUUCAGGUGACACAGGGACACGGGACACGGGGACACGGGACACGGGACACGGGGACACAAGGACACGGGACACGGGGACACGGGACAUGGAACACAGGGACACGGGACAUGCAACACGGGGACACAGGUGCAUGGGACAUGGGGACAUGGGACACGGGACACAGGGACACAGGGACACAGGGACACGGGGACAUGGGACACGGGACACAGGGACACAGGGACACGGGGACAUGGGACAUGGGAACAUGGGACACGGGACACAGGGACACAGGGACACGGGGACAUGGGACACAGGGACACGGGACACAGGGACACAGGGACACGGGGACAUGGGACAUGGGGACACGGGACACGGGACACAGGGACACAGGGACACGGGGACAUGGGACACAGGGACACUGGACACGGGACACGGGACACAGGGACACAGGGACAUGGGGACAUGGGACAUGGGGACACGGGACACGGGGACAUGGGACACGGGGACAUGGGACACAGGGACACUGGACACGGGACACGGGGACACAGGACACAGGACGUGGGGACACAGGACACGGGGACACGGGGACAUGGGACAUAGGGACACGGGACACCGGGACACAGGGACAUGGGACAUGAGGGACAUGGGUCUGUGGGACAUGGGACAUGGGGACAGGGACACGGGGACAUGGGACACGGGGACAUGGGGACACGGGACACGGGACACAGGGACACAGGGACACGGGGAACAGGGGACACGGGGACAUGGGACACGGGGACACAGGGACAUGGGACAUGAGGGACACGGGACACGGGGACACGGGGACACAGAGACACGGGGACAUGGGACACGGGGACACGGGACACAGGACACGGGACACGGGACACGGGGACACAGGACACGGGGACAUGGGACACAGGGACACGGGGACACAGGGACACGGGACAUGGGACACGGGACACAGGACAUGGGACACAGGGACACGGGACACGGGGACACGGGACACGGGGACACGGGACAUGGGGACAUGGGACACAGGACACGGGGACACUGCAGAUGCUGAGAUCACUUGGAGUCACAGUCCCGCGAGCCCCAGUGGCCUGCGGGUUUUGCUCGUCUCUGCUCUGUCUUCAGCUUCUCAGCCGUCUAGAGCUGCCUGACAGACCAGGAAGCUUUCCCUGACUCCUCCCGCCCCGAAAAACUCAACACACAGGACACAGCACACACAACACCACAUCACAGCACACGCAACACCACAACACAGCACAUGCAACACCACA